CCUACGGGAGGCAGCAGUGGGGAAUAUUGCGCAAUGGGCGAAAGCCUGACGCAGCAACGCCGCGUGGGGGAUGAAGGCCUUCGGGCUGUAAACCUCUUUCAGCAGGGAAGAAGCGAAAGUGACGGUACCUGCAGAAGAAGCACCGGCUAACUACGUGCCAGCAGCCGCGGUAAUACGUAGGGUGCAAGCGUUGUCCGGAUUUAUUGGGCGUAAAGAGCUCGUAGGCGGUUAGUCACGUCGGAUGUGAAAUCCCGGAGCUUAACUCCGGGCCUGCAUUCGAUACGGGCUGACUCGAGUGUUGUAGGGGAGACUGGAACUCCUGGUGUAGCGGUGAAAUGCGCAGAUAUCAGGAAGAACACCGGUGGCGAAGGCGGGUCUCUGGGCAACUACUGACGCUGAGGAGCGAAAGCGUGGGGAGCAAACAGGAUUAGAUACCCUGGUAGUCCACGCCGUAAACGGUGGGCGCUAGGUGUGGGGAACAGUUCCACGUUCUCUGCGCCGCNGCUACGACAUAAGCGCCCGCCGUCGGGAGGUACGGCCGCGACGGACGUAAACUACGAAGGAAGUUAGACGGCGUGAGACGUGCCGACGGACGACGACGAGGGAGGUAGG
This 612-nucleotide ribosomal RNA is filed under the name uncultured bacterium. RNAcentral's name for it is "bacterial SSU rRNA". The stretch from base 1 to 524 matches the Rfam family "Bacterial small subunit ribosomal RNA", at positions 338 to 873 of the family's 1533-position model. The record is from RNAcentral.